Molecule: RNA transcript, 1269 nt
Organism: Phoenix dactylifera (date palm)
Lineage: Eukaryota; Viridiplantae; Streptophyta; Magnoliopsida; Arecales; Arecaceae
Gene name: vesicle-associated protein 1-2-like
Source: RefSeq, a predicted model, not a curated record
CUUGGCGUCGGAUUCCAUAUUUCACCCCCACGGUCCCAGAAAAUCCCCACUUCUGCUGUAAACGCGGAUUCCCACGUCCCUCCGCUCCUCUUUUCCUCCUGAUUCCUUCGCCUUCCUCUCUCUCUCUCUCUCUCUGCCCCUCUGCGGCGCCGAAAACCCAAAGCCAGCGAUCGAUCUCGAGAUCAUGAGCGCGGGCGAGCUGCUUGGCGUCGAGCCACUCGAGCUAAAAUUCCCAUUCGAAUUAAAGAAGCAGAUCUCGUGCUCUCUUCAGCUAUCCAACAAGACCGAUGACUACGUCGCCUUUAAAGUCAAGACUACGAGCCCGAAGAAGUAUUGUGUGCGACCGAACACUGGAAUAGUCUUUCCUCGACAAACAUGCGAUGUCAUCGUUACUAUGCAAGCACAGAGGGAGGCUCCUCCUGACAUGCAAUGUAAGGACAAGUUUCUUGUUCAGAGCGUUGUUGCAAGCCCUGGUGCUGCUGUGAAGGACAUUACACCAGAAAUGUUCUCUAAAGAGUCUGGUAAUAUGGUGGACGAGGUCAAAUUGCGAGUCGUAUACGUGUCACCACCUCAGCCGCCUUCACCAGUCCCUGAGGAAUCCGAGGAGGGUUCAUCACCUAGGCCUUCCGUAUCAGACAAUGCUAAUAUGACAACCAGAGAAUAUGUUUUUGCCGAAUCAAGGGAGCAGAUUGAGCCUCAAGAAAAAUCUUCAGAGCUGCAAGGUUUAGAGCUUACGCUUUAUCUCACAAACUAUUAUAUGGCUAUAUGAAAAGAUGAAUGGAGUUCAAUCAAUUCAUAUGAGAUAGUAAAGGCACCAGCUUUGAUUUCAAGGUUGACUGAGGAGAAGAAUGCUGCUAUUCAACAGAACAAUAAACUUCGAAAGGAGUUGGAGCUUAUGAGGCGCGAAGUCAGCAAACAGCGUGGUGGUUUCUCCUUCAUGUUCGUGGUUAUUAUUGCCGUGCUUGGAAUUCUUCUCGGCUAUCUUGUGAAAUAAUUUCUCUAGGGCUUUUAUCCUGUUGGCCAUUCCUAACUUGGAAGGGAAAUGAAAUGAGAAGAUCUGAUUGUGUUCGGUGUUUGUAGAAUUUAGAACGCACUGCCGAAAAGUUCAUGGUUCAGCAAUUCUCUGCUUGUAACUCAGUACAUGUAAUUCGUGAUCUGCCGAGCCAUUUCGAGUUACAAUCUUUUGUAAGUUAUGCUCUUUUUGCCAUCUUGAUUGGAGUAGCAAGGAAUUCAGUGCUUCAAAUUUCCAGAACAUUAUGCAUCAUCAAA